GGCGAAGAAUCUGGGAAAUAAUCGCAACCUAAAGAUCUCAAGUUGUGGAUUCGACGGGAUAUUUGAACAGAAUACCGUCGAGGAUAUGAUGGAGAUGGUGUGGAUAGGACUGUGUCUUCAGCUCCUCCUCUGCCAGACAUGGGCCAGUCUUCAUACCAUCCCUUACACCAUGUACUCCAUGCUCAAACAGCCCUCAGGUCCCUGGAUGAGCCAGUGAGGGUUGACCCCUGCUGUCUCUUGGCCCUCCCCCACCCCCACUCUUCCUCCACCUACCCUGCUCUGGAAGCGACGGACUGCGGUGAGGUUAUACACACAC
Salvelinus sp. IW2-2015 is the source of this 316-nucleotide long non-coding RNA. RefSeq lists it as uncharacterized. NCBI's taxonomy places the organism in Eukaryota, Metazoa, Chordata, Actinopteri, Salmoniformes, Salmonidae. The record is from RefSeq and is a predicted model, not a curated record.